Molecule: unclassified non-coding RNA, 253 nt
Filed under: uncultured Phycisphaeraceae bacterium
Lineage: Bacteria; Pseudomonadati; Planctomycetota; Phycisphaerae; Phycisphaerales; Phycisphaeraceae
Description: contains 16S-23S intergenic spacer region
Rfam family: Bacterial small subunit ribosomal RNA
Source: RNAcentral
UACAGAGGGCCCGAGCGUUGCGCGGAUUUAUUGGGCUUAAAGGGUGCGUAGGCGGAAGCGCAAGUGUCUUGUGAAAGCCCCCGGCUCAACCGGGGAAUUGCUGGGCAAACUGCGUUUCUUGAGGCUGGUAGGCGCUGCCGGAACUGUAGGUGUAGCGGUGAAAUGCGUAGAUAUCUACAGGAACGCCGAUGGUGAAGACGGGCAGCUGGGCCAGUUCUGACGCUGAGGCACGAAAGCGUGGGGAGCAAACAGG